AUACUCAUGUAAUCGCUGUUUGUGUAAUACAAGCAGAGGAAAGUCCAUGCUCACACAAACUGAGAUGUUUGUAGUGUUCGUGCUUGACGAAUUCAUAAGUCAAGGUAACCUUAAUGGUUAACGGCAGGGGAAAUUCCUAAGUCCUAUUGGAUAUGGAACGCGAUCCUUGAAAGUGCCACAGUGACGUAGCUAGAGUGGAAACACUUUAGGUGGAACGAGGUAAACCCCACGAGUGAGCAACCCAAAUAAUGGUAGGGGCAUCCUUUAGUAGGGAAAUCAACCGAACAAGGGACAAGUUUUACUUGUAGAUAGAUGAUUACAACCUGCGUACGAGGCUGACCACCGUAUGGAGUACAACGGUACAGAACAUGGCUUAUCGAG
Molecule: RNase P RNA, 381 nt
Filed under: Ornithinibacillus caprae
Lineage: Bacteria; Bacillati; Bacillota; Bacilli; Caryophanales; Bacillaceae
Description: Bacterial RNase P class B
Rfam family: Bacterial RNase P class B
About the family: Ribonuclease P (RNase P) is a ubiquitous endoribonuclease, found in archaea, bacteria and eukarya as well as chloroplasts and mitochondria. Its best characterised activity is the generation of mature 5'-ends of tRNAs by cleaving the 5'-leader elements of precursor-tRNAs.
Source: Rfam by way of RNAcentral